Molecule: long non-coding RNA, 617 nt
Organism: Myotis lucifugus (little brown bat)
Lineage: Eukaryota; Metazoa; Chordata; Mammalia; Chiroptera; Vespertilionidae
Exons: 3
Source: RefSeq, a predicted model, not a curated record
GAUGCCAAGGGCCUAAUUAGGCAUCUGGUCAGUUUCCUUUGCUUCGGAUUCCUGAUGCGCCAAAAGGAAGUGAUUCAUCUGGACCAUUCCCUCUACCAAGUGCCCUCAUGGGGGCUCAGCGAGGACCCACUAAGCCCCUCCCCGCUACCAGCCGCUUCGUUCCACAGCAGGGAGAAGAGAGGGCAGAGAAAGAAGCUGGGAAUCAAGGGUAAAGGGAAUAACAGAUACAAGAGGGGGAAGCUAAGAGGUCAAGACGAAGAAGAAAGAAGGAGAACCAUAAAACCCACAGGAGCAAUGACCACGAAUGAAGUGGAGACUUGACCAUGAAACCAGGGAAACUGCUACAGAAUGGGGGUUCUCUAAAUGCAGAAAGAUGCCUGUCCUGAUCCGUCUGAAAAGUCCCUUCACGGUGAAGCUGGUGAGAAGCAAGGAUAGAUGUCACCUCUCCUCUCCCCAGCCCUCCCGCUGCCAGAGACUUGCCUCUCUUCCUUCUCGCCUACUGAACUCCGUGUGCACCAAAUUAUUCCAAGGAACAUCCAGCUCUCCUUAGACUGAAGGAGUUGUCAACCUCUUAGCCAGGACAACAUUUGCCAAUAAAGACCUGCCUGUGUCCCAAA